UUGACAAAUGACUCUCCUACCGCGACCAUCAUCCUCGGAGCUCCGAAACAGAGCAAAGAAGUGCAGUAACUCACGAGAACUCCUGAAACGCGUAGACCACGGGGUCGAUCUUUGGGACGACGACGGGCAGCCUCUCGAACAGCACGGACGCGACGACCUUCUCGGGCUUGGUGCAGAACCCCCGCGCCGGCCGGACCAGCGACGACGCGACCGCCGCAUCUCCGCCUUCCCCUCCCUGGAUCCAACACGACGCGAAGCGGCAUCAGAACGCAGCACGAAGAGAGAACGAACAAGAAGAAGAAAGAAGAACCCAAUAGAGCAAAACGCAUACAGACACGUCACGUCAGAGAGAGAGAGAGAGAGAGAGAGAGAGAGAGUGCCUCGCGACCUUCGCGGCGGACGCUGGAAUCCUUCGGGACGAGACGGCGGCGGCGGCGAGCUUGCUUCGGUUCAGAGGAGGGGAUGCUGCCUGCGGCUGCGGAGCGAUCUACCGGGUACCGGCAAAUGCAGGGGAAAGCGCAAGCCGUUGCUCUGAUGCUCUGCAGAGUCUUGGGCUUUUUUGGGUCGAAUUGGGCCGGGCCGAUGUUC
Molecule: long non-coding RNA, 588 nt
Filed under: Eucalyptus grandis
Lineage: Eukaryota; Viridiplantae; Streptophyta; Magnoliopsida; Myrtales; Myrtaceae
Description: long non-coding RNA (EGRA_LNC001679)
Source: RNAcentral